This 419-nucleotide ribosomal RNA is filed under the name Artemia urmiana. Its description in RNAcentral is "partial small subunit ribosomal RNA". The record is from RNAcentral. Lineage: Eukaryota; Metazoa; Arthropoda; Branchiopoda; Anostraca; Artemiidae.
UUCAACAGGGGUGAAAUCUGUAUACACCAUGAAUUUUUUGAUUAAAGUACCUUUUAGGUGGUCAAAUGACUAGGAUUAGAUACCCUAUUAGUCCACUCUUAAUUAACCUGGGUAGUAGUAUUGAAACCUAAAGAAUUUGGCGGUUUCUAAACCUACUAGAGGAACCUGCCCCAUAAACGACAAUCCACGAAAAAAUUCACCCGGGCUAGUUAUGCAGCUUAUAUACCGUCGUUCAGAGGACUAAAUAAAUAGAUCCUCUUAAAAGCUUAGGCUAAUAAAUCAGAUCAAGGUGUAGCUUAUGCCCGGGAGAGGGUGGGUUACAAUGAAAAUUCAUACGGAACUUCUAUUUUAUGAUAGAAAAGAAGGUGGAUUUAGAAGUAAGACUCAAUAUACUGAAAAAGGCUCUCAGAAAUGUACAC